This 253-nucleotide ribosomal RNA is filed under the name uncultured bacterium. RNAcentral describes it as "partial 16S ribosomal RNA". It matches the Rfam family "Bacterial small subunit ribosomal RNA", at positions 524 to 776 of the family's 1533-position model. The record is from RNAcentral.
UACGUAGGGGGCUAGCGUUGUCCGGAAUCAUUGGGCGUAAAGAGCGCGCAGGCGGUCGUUCAAGUCGAGUGUGAAAGCCCCCGGCUCAACUGGGGAGGGUCACUCGAUACUGAUCGACUUGAAGGCAGGAGAGGGAAGCGGAAUUCCCGGUGUAGUGGUGAAAUGCGUAGAUAUCGGGAGGAACACCAGUGGCGAAGGCGGCUUCCUGGCCUGUUCUUGACGCUGAGGCGCGAAAGCUAGGGGAGCAAACGGG